RNAcentral lists this long non-coding RNA (260 nucleotides) under Ananas comosus (pineapple). RNAcentral describes it as "long non-coding RNA (ACOM_LNC024746)". The record is from RNAcentral. Lineage: Eukaryota; Viridiplantae; Streptophyta; Magnoliopsida; Poales; Bromeliaceae.
CACUUAAAAUAAAUAAAAGCUAGACCAAUUUUGUAUUUGUAUGAAAAUUGGAUUGGUAUCAUUUGGUUUAGGAGUAAGAUGUUUUUGAUUAUUCCUGAUAUAGAUACAACUCCUGAAAUAAAUAGAAACUAGAUCAUUUUUGUGUUUGUCUAAAAAUUGGUUUGUUUUCAAGAAUUUAAAAAAAAAGCGUUUGGAUUUUUAGAUAGGGAUAGUAGGAAUAAGAAUAAUUAUAGUUUUAAAAUAAUAAUAUUUUACCUAAU